AGUGAACGCUGGCGGUAGGCCUAACACAUGCAAGUCGAACGGCAGCACAGUAAGAGCUUGCUCUUACGGGUGGCGAGUGGCGGACGGGUGAGGAAUACAUCGGAAUCUACUUUUUCGUGGGGGAUAACGUAGGGAAACUUACGCUAAUACCGCAUACGACCUACGGGUGAAAGCAGGGGAUCUUCGGACCUUGCGCGAUUGAAUGAGCCGAUGUCGGAUUAGCUAGUUGGCGGGGUAAAGGCCCACCAAGGCGACGAUCCGUAGCUGGUCUGAGAGGAUGAUCAGCCACACUGGAUCUGAGACAGGGUCCAGACUCCUACGGGAGGCAGCAGUGGGGAAUAUUGGACGAUGGGCGCAAGCCUGAUCCAGCCAUACCGCGGGGGUGAAGAAGGCCUUCGGGUUGGAAAGCCCUUUUGUUGGGAAAGAAAAGCAGCAGGUUAAUACCCCGCUGUUCUGACGGUACCCAAAGAAUAAGCACCGGCUAACUUCGUG
Molecule: ribosomal RNA, 492 nt
Filed under: uncultured bacterium
Lineage: Bacteria
Description: partial 16S ribosomal RNA
Rfam family: Bacterial small subunit ribosomal RNA
Source: RNAcentral